AGACGUGUCCUCAUAGGCCAAUUUCAUUAGCUUAAAAAGAGGACCGUUUGAUUAAUUUUAUCAGUUUGAAGAGUGGAGUAUCAUUUGUGUGGUAGCACGGCGCGUGGCGUUUUAUUAGUGCUCCACUAUUCUAUCCCUACUUAAACUUAAAAUAUAUUUAAUUAAUAUUCCGUCUAUUUAUGGAAUUUUUAAUGUAGGUUCUCAUUUGAAAAACUAAAGUUGGUAUCGCCACAGUAAACUCUUUAAAUGUGAAAAAUCUAUAAGUAUUAAAUAAUAUAGGUAUUACACUUAAGAAUUAAAAAAAUCUGAAUUUGUAUACAUGCAAAAUUUAACUAAAAAAUAGGGUGAACAUGCUUAGUGAAUCAUCCUGUAUUUCAAGUAUAAGUUGACUUUUAUACGUAAUUUAUUUGUAAUAAAACGUACUAGCAUUAUGAUUUCCUUUAAAUUCGACAUUUUUGGAUACCGCAUGUCCACAUCACAGAUAAUAUUAGGUUAUUUGUUAUUAUUUUAAGAAAUGUUAAUGAACUAUUUUGCAUUUUAGAUUGGUUAUCUUGAUUUCCAUAGAUUAAUUAUAAUACAUCACAAUAGCAAUAUUAUAUUAUAAGUUCUAUUGUCACUAUAAAGGUACCAAAUAAAUAUAGUUCCCUACCUAUCUAUUUACUUUUUUUUUGUGAAAAUCAGUUAAAAAAAUUUAUUUUAUGUAUUUAUUUAAAUUUUACAAUUUCCUGCAGAGUAUGUGGCGUUGAAUUAUUUUGUAAAAAAAAUUGUACGUAACCUAAAAUGUUAAUUAAAUUACUAUAUAUAGUUAUAUCU
This is a non-coding RNA of Cinara cedri, 813 nucleotides long. The record is from the annotation of a GenBank genome assembly. NCBI's taxonomy places the organism in Eukaryota, Metazoa, Arthropoda, Insecta, Hemiptera, Aphididae.